RNAcentral lists this long non-coding RNA (1212 nucleotides) under Homo sapiens (human). RNAcentral's name for it is "HSALNT0366707". The record is from RNAcentral. Lineage: Eukaryota; Metazoa; Chordata; Mammalia; Primates; Hominidae.
UUUAUAGGCUUUAAAAGGCUAUGCUGUAGCAGGCGAGUGAUAACAGGCUUUAAUCUUUUUAAAGCGUGCUGCGGGAUGGGAUAUUGGCGUUGAGUGGGGUAAGGGUGAUUAGGUUUUAAUGAGAUGGUAAGGGGUGCAUGAUCGGUCACCAAGGAGGGAGUAGAGGUAUCUUAUACUUGUGGGUUAAGGUGGGGGGAUACAAGAGGAGGACGCAAAGGAGGCUUUGGAUUGGGAAGAAGGGCGGCAAUGAGAUAUAGCUGUAAUCCAGGAGUAGUCAGGGAAGCAGAUAAUUUAGUUAAAGUGUCUCAGCCUAAUAAGGGAACUGGGCAGGUGGGGAUAACUAAAAAGGAGUGCUUGAAAGAGUAUUGUCUAAGUUGGCACCAGAGUUGGGGAGUUUUAAGAGGUUUAGAAGCCUGGCCAUCAGUACUUACAACAGUUAUGGAGGCAAGGGAAACAGGCCCUUGAAAAGAAGGUAAUGUGGAGUGGGUAACCUCUGUAUUGAUUAAGAAGGGGACGGGCUUACCUUCCACUGUGAGAGUUACCGGAAGCUCGGCGUCCGUGAUGGUCUAGGGGGCUUCCGAGGCGAUCCGGCAGCGUCAGUCUUCAGCUGCUAAGCUGAGAAAAUCUGGGAAGGAGUCAGUCAGAGAGCCUUGGGCCAGAGUUCCAGGGGCUCUGGGAGUGGCUGCCAGGUCCCCGGGGCCAGGAGAGACCCGGCAUCCAAGGUGUGCCACAGCUGAGCUUCACCCGGAUAUAUAGACCAGCUCUCCCCACGUCCCAGCACCCUGCCUGGCAGCGCAAUGGAACCGAGGAUGGGGCUGCAGGACGAUACCAGCACUUCAGGAACUGUGACAGAAUCUUGCUCCGCUGCCAAGGCUGGAGUGCACUGGUUCAAUCUCGGCUCACUGCAAACUCUGCCUCCCAAGUUCAAGUGAUUCUCCUGUGUCAGUUUCUUUAGGAAUACAGCACUCCAUAUUGUUACCAUAAUAAUGAAACGGAUUCCCAUGGCUACAGCGAUGAAGCAGCAGAAAAAAAAUGGAGAUGCUGUCAAAGAAAAAAGACACAGAUCAGAGAAAGAAGCAUAAAAGGUUUGGGUAUCUUUGUAUUUAAUAUAAAUAUUAGAGUUUUUUAAAUGAGAAGGUGGUAUUGAUCCUUUUUCUGCCUUAAUAAUUUUUUCCAGAACAGAACAUAAAUACCUCGCAAAUGAUCAAAAAC